This 28-nucleotide non-coding RNA is filed under the name Rattus norvegicus (Norway rat). The record is from RNAcentral. Lineage: Eukaryota; Metazoa; Chordata; Mammalia; Rodentia; Muridae.
AGGAAGUUACCCCCAAAGGGUUGUUUCU